Molecule: long non-coding RNA, 1206 nt
Filed under: Canis lupus familiaris (dog)
Lineage: Eukaryota; Metazoa; Chordata; Mammalia; Carnivora; Canidae
Description: lncRNA (ENSCAFG00845005404.1)
Source: RNAcentral
UUACUAUGGCACAGGUAUGAAAUGCACAUGAGUUAAAAAGAAAAUCACAGUCGCUCUGGAAGGCAGGAUCCAGAUUCAUCCUGCAGGACCUGGUGCAUGAGGCCAAAGUUGGAUGAGAUCAUACUCUUCUGCUUGAGGUAAUGUAAGGCCUCCUUCAGGCAGACUACUUGGUCUUCAUGAGCUAAGCCAUGCAGAUGAUGGAUGAACAGGAGAUCCCAAAACCUUGCCUCCCUUUUCCCUGACACGGUCAGCGAAGUCUAUGCUUCUUAAGAGUGGGAGCUGCUGUCAGCCACAUGGCUGUCCUCCUGUUGGAUCCAUGUGUAGUGGAGGGGGCCAUGCUGGCCUCAGAGCUCUGUUGUGAGACAUUCAGUGGCCUGUGAUGUGCAGGAUGGUGUGGACAUUGCUCUGAUGCCUGCUAAGCAGUUUGAAAAUUUUGCUGAUCCUGGUCCUAGACUGUGUCUAACCCUUACAACCACUAGCCAAGCCUGAGAAGAAGCUGGGGAUGUCUCUGUGGCAGGCUGAAUAUGUGGCCCCCAAACACGUCCAGGAUGGAAGGUUCCUGGUUACUCCGCUCUUGGGCAUGGAUCAUCUCUGGGGUCCUCUGAAGAGAAAGGGUGAGUUCUACUUUCAAGACUGGAUGAAAGUAAUCCUGCCACACGACUGAGGGUUGUUUGAACGUCCAAAUAUCUUUUGAGACCUGAACUCAGGAUCCCUGAGAUCAAGACCUGAGCCAAGAUCAAGAAUCAGAUGCCCAACCAACUGAGCCACCCAGGUGCCCCCAGUUGGAGCCUCCACAUAUCUUGUGAGUGCUGCAGAGAUAAAAAUUCUUGUUGAGCAGUAGAUACUACAGAGCCCAUCAGCUUAUUGAUAAAGCCUAUGGACUAUAGAGUCAUACUUCCUGGGUUUCAAUCUUAUCUCUUCUGUUUGCUAGCAGGGUGACUUAGCAAAUUACUCAACCUCUCUGUGCCUUGAUUUCUUCAACUAAGAAAGGGGGAUGCUGAUUAUUGUACCUAUUUCAGUAUACUGUGUUGUGAGAAAUAAAUGAAAUAAUAUGCAUAAAGCCUUUUAAAAGUGUCUGUUUUCUUUUCCUUUAUACAUUUGUUUUGUUUCUUAAAUUCCACAUGAGUGAAAUCAUAUGAUAUUUGUCUUUCUCUGACUGACUUUUUUUUAGCAUUAUACUCUUUAGAUCACUAUAUUGUAUGCUUG